This is an unclassified non-coding RNA of Cercocebus atys (sooty mangabey), 75 nucleotides long. The record is from Ensembl. Lineage: Eukaryota; Metazoa; Chordata; Mammalia; Primates; Cercopithecidae.
AGGCCGAGAGCCGACCAGACAAACAACCUACAACCCUUAAGCUCCUGGCAGCGCCCAGUCAAGGCCAUGCUUCCG